Long non-coding RNA from Sebastes umbrosus (honeycomb rockfish), 2345 nucleotides. RefSeq lists it as uncharacterized. Lineage: Eukaryota; Metazoa; Chordata; Actinopteri; Perciformes; Sebastidae. The transcript has 2 exons. The record is from RefSeq and is a predicted model, not a curated record.
GAGGAGGAGGAGGAGGGACUUGGUGGAUGAUGAGUAGCCACACCGACAGCAGCAUCUCCGCUCUGUCGCCCUGCGCCUGUCAGCAGUCACUGGGAACCGGCCUGGACUCCGCCAGCUCCACUUCAUUAACAGUCCGGUGUUGCUCAGCUCGGAGCUCGGUGACCUACUUCGAGGCAAAAAGUUGCCGCCUCACAAACAAAGUGGUGAAGAUCGGUUUUGAACAUUUUUAUAUGAGCGCGUUUUACAGCUGAGGCGCGCGCGGAGGAGAGGACACAAAAGUAGAAACGCAUGGACACCAGAGGGACACCAGAGGGACACCAGAGGGACACCAGAGGGACACCAGAGGGACACCAGAGGGACACCAGAGGGAAGGAUUAGGGAGAAUCUGUGGAGUUGUAGUGACCGAUAGUUGCAGACCUGAGGUGUGAUGUGACCACAAUGAGUCUGGAGGCUGCAUUCCAGUCCACCAUGGAGGAGCACGAUCUGAAGACGGGCCUGUCUGUGUGGGCCAUCAUUGCCAUCGUUUGCAACUCUGCGGUGGGCGUCCUCAUCCUCAUCCUCUUCGUCAUCCUCUACAAGGCCUGCAAGGUGCCUUCGCACCAGGAGAAAGUGCCAGUUUUCAUACAAGUGCCAGAGAAGAAGAAGAAUGAGAAGAAGACGGCUGAGCAGAAAUACCUGCUGACUGCAGCCUGAAGCAUGGAGGAUACAGACUUGAGAUGUAGAUCUAACUCAACUCUGUCCAUCGAGGAGAGUCACUACAGAGUGUUAGGAGACUAGCUGAACUUCGAGUGAUCUUCUACAUUUCUCCUCCUCUUCAACUACUCAUGCAGUUAUUUUCCCUCACAUGAACAUACAUGUUCACAUUUCUCCACCAUCAGCGGAGCUCAGAGUGAGCUAACUGCAUUAAGAGUUGUAGCGAGGCCAACAACAACAACAAGAAGCGGGCCCAAUCCUCUUAUCUCUGCUGUGCGUCGCAGGGACUGUCCAUCUGUCAGUCUGUUUGCUUUUGCUCCACACAGGCAGACCAUGAUCUCCUCCUCUACUCCAUCCUUUUUCAUCCCUCCAUGCGACACAGGUGAGAGGAUGUGGAGGAGAAAGUGCAAAGACACAAUGGAUUGUAACAGGAGAGUUCAGGGUGACGGUGUUGGUUGAGAGUCACAAUAACUUGUUAGAGGUAAAGGGAAACAAGCGGCUCCGUGUUUACCCGCUGCAGCACUAAUGACGGCAACGGCAGAGCUGCCAAAACCAAAAGCCUGAAAGAGUCAGGAGAGGAGAAAGUGUGCGAGAGUCACAACAAUGCGGAGAGGGAGACAGACGGAGAUAAAGGACAGAUCUUUGGUGGGGAUGAUAAAGUGCAGGGGAAGAAUCGGAGAGAGGGGAUGCUUUGAUGUGUUGUUUACCGAGAGGCAGCUCGAGGCUCCGGUUUGACAGUCUCCCUAUUUGACACACACACGCUUCCACCGAUCCAACUCCCAUGGGAUUAAAAGCAGCAGCAAAAGUGUUACUCGUGUCCCAGAGUGCCUCACUUUCAUUUUUGUGAGCUCCUCUAAAAGCUAAGUAAGAUAUUUAUGCACAGCCUUCACCAGAAAUGACAAACUGACUGAACACUUGCACAAUGUCUCCCAGUAACGAGUGAAUACUGUGUUUAUUGGAGUGAAUGUGCUGCAGCUAACACUCUAACUGUGUGAUAUCAAUAAAGGGUGGAAGAGAGGCAAUGUGACAAGCCAGUCAUAAGUGGAAGAAAAAGUGCUUCACACCUCUAUAUUGUUUUUGUCUUGUAUAGUCAAUACAAUGUUUAUUAACGAAAGGGCUCUUCACAGACAUGUGCUAUCUAAUCUCAGGUCUGAGUUAAUUUAUACUAUAAUAACAAUAUGCUGAUUUGACUUUAUGUGCAGCUUUUUUAUUCUACUUCAUUUAUGUUUCUGUGCAACUUAUACUUAAUGAUGAACAGUAAUCUUUUUGCUGAAAUGAGUCGUUGUUUAAUAAUAUCAAGUUGCAGCUUCUUGUGUGAGCUUUACCCUUCAUAUUGAUGGAAAUUGAAUAACAUGUUUUUUUAAACUCGGACCCAAAAUAGAACUUUGAAGGCAUCACGUGGGACUUUGGCAACUUGCAGUGGUCAUUUCUCAAUAUAUUUUUUAUCUUUAUGGAUUAAAUGAUCAAUCAAAGACUAAUCAACCGAAGAACUGGUGUUGAAAAUAAUCAUUUGUUGCAGCCCUACACUUACUUUACAGAAUAGCUAUUGUUUCACUGUGGUAAUAGCUAUUGUGCUCUAUAUGACUUGUGGUACUGAUGACAGUUUAUUUUUGACUGACACAAUAAAAUGAUUUACUGUUGUUUAUAACAUA